AUGUUCUAUACUUCUGUUAAUGUAACCAUAGUCCCUAUGAGCUUUUUUGUGACUAUUUUUUACAGACUGUCCUUGAGCCUUUCCUGCAGGCCCAAGACUCUUUCCUACCAGCUGCUGCUCAGGCUGAACCCUAUCCUAGUUUAUAGGAACCCCAUACCCAGGCGGAGUGUGGACUCUGGCCGGGAGUGCCUGGACUGCAGGGUGAGAUCUGUUUGCCUUUCCAAGCAGCAUGUGCUGGUCGGGGAUGGAGAGUGGGGGGCAGAUGAACCCCAGAAGCCAAGCUCUCAUCCUCUUCUUCCCUGUGCACCAUGUGCCUUGGUGAAUCCCUUCUCGUCUCUGGGCCUCGGUUUCCCCAUCUGCCAUGGGCUUGGCUCUGCCCAGUCACUCUUCCUCCAGUACAGGCUUCCUGGGCUUGCCUCUGUCUUGGCUCCUGCUCAGCCAGGUGUCCAGUCUCAGGCCUGUCCCAGCCCGGAACAAUGGGCCGGGCUGGGCCAGUCACUCAAGGCCCCAGACUCAGUCCCCAAGGGCUCACCCUGAACUAUUUUCAGCCCUUGGAGAUGGAGUCAGAAAAGGAUUUUCCACUCCCAGCACAAUGGCUGCCCUGGACCAUUGUCCAGCAGUGACCAGGAGAUCCGCCCACCCCAAAAUACCUUCCCUGCCCCUACCCUCUGGGCGUCCCCACCUUGAUAGGCUUCCCGGGGCUGUCAACUCCCAAAGGCUGUUGUGAAGCAGUGCGUGAGUCCCCCGGAAGACAGGACCAGUUGGAUUCAGUUUUCCCUCCUGGCAGGGACCCCAGGAAUUGUGUGGCUUCUUAGAGGGAUGAGAGGCCCAGAGAGUGCCGUGCCUUGCCCGAGGCCACACAGCAGUCAGCAUGGAGACUAGAUGCGAGGUCUGUGAGGCCUCUGCUGCCCUCAUCAGCUCUGGGCUGCACCUUCUGAGGGCUCACCUUGGAAGGCCACAGGUGGGCCUGCUGGAAAGAGGCCUGAGGGACAUGGGUGGAAGGGGGUGUACCUUGGGAACCUGGGGCACCCUAUUCAGUCCUGUUUUUACCAAAUGUGGUUUUUGCUUGCACUGAACUCAGGGUUACCAAGUUGUGGGAAAGAAGGAGGUUGGGGGCCCAGGGAAACUGAGGCAGGAGGAGCAGGGUUCUGGCCCCGCUCAGCCAUCACCAGCUCUGUGACCACAAAUUCAAUGUCUUUGUCUGUAAAAUGGAACUGCUAAUACUUCUUUUUCCAGUUUACUGAACAAUGAGAAUGCAGGAAGGCACAAACACAGCUAUUUUAUUUUCCUAUCAGUACUGCCUACUCCAUGUCUAAUUUCCUUCCCCAUCCAUAAACUGUUUAUAUGGCAAACUCCAAAUAUUUGAGUCACUUGUGAGUAACAAAGUUCAUUCCAGCUUAAGGUUCCAACCGCUACUUAAUUUAAUGCCCACCCCUCUUCUUCCCCGGUGCGGGGAGGACUCUCCUCACCCCUCCUUUGGGUGCCUCUCUCCUCCGGGUGUCAGGCAAGUUGGGGAGGAGGAAAGGGACCAGUAUAUCUUCCCCAGGACUGCCACAGCCCUUCCUUGCUUCUCUGGCCGUGACAACGUGACCAUCAGUGACCCUCCGUGGGGAGCCCUCCAAAAGCCAACCCACACCUUUGUAAAGAGUCUCUUCAUUCACCCAGUCUGAGUGUGCCCCAUCUUUCUUGCUGAGACUAACUCCUACACCCGUCUCCUGAGUGACUUUCCUAGAGCACCGCUCGCCCGGCUUGGCUGAGAGCUCACAGCAGCAGGGUCGCUUUCAAGGUCACUGAGCCCAGGGUUCAGCUUCUAGAAUCAGCAUGGAGGGUGGUCGAGGACUGGGGUAAUAAACUCUGAGAAGGUGCCUGACCCCA
Long non-coding RNA from Ursus maritimus (polar bear), 1875 nucleotides. Lineage: Eukaryota; Metazoa; Chordata; Mammalia; Carnivora; Ursidae. The record is from Ensembl.